This 253-nucleotide ribosomal RNA is filed under the name uncultured bacterium. Its description in RNAcentral is "partial 16S ribosomal RNA". It matches the Rfam family "Bacterial small subunit ribosomal RNA", at positions 524 to 776 of the family's 1533-position model. The record is from RNAcentral.
UACGAGUGGUCCAAGCGUUAUCCGGAAUUAUUGGGCGUAAAGCGGGUGUAGGUGGCUUGGUAAGUCAGAUGUGAAAGCCCUGGGCUUAACCCAGGAAGUGCAUUUGAUACUGCUAAGCUUGAGUGCGAGAGAGGUUAAUAGAAUACCUGGUGUAGUGGUGAAAUACGUAGAUAUCAGGUGGAACACCGGAGGCGAAGGCGGUUAACUGGCUCGACACUGACACUGAGACCCGAAAGUGCGGGGAUCAAACAGG